This 291-nucleotide ribosomal RNA is filed under the name Triticum aestivum (bread wheat). RNAcentral's name for it is "partial small subunit ribosomal RNA". The record is from RNAcentral. Lineage: Eukaryota; Viridiplantae; Streptophyta; Magnoliopsida; Poales; Poaceae.
AUGGUUGCUCGGAUCUGGACCAGCUGCUGCUCCUACUGCUUCAGGUGGACGAGGACGAGCCCUCCCUCAUGGCUGCUGCGGCUGCCUACUCCCUCCUCCUACCCCCUGUCCUGGUGUGUGAACAAAGGAAGCCUUGCGCCAAGGAGAAGCGGACGUGGUGUUCGACUAGGCCAAAGAGAGGACAGGAGAGGACCACAGAGAGCAAAGGAGAGGAUAGAAUCAGAGCACCGUCACUCAGGCGUGGGUAAAUCCGAUCAUGGUGCUUCAGGUUCAGGGUCUGCCUUGCUAUGA